RNAcentral lists this transfer RNA (89 nucleotides) under Rhizobium leguminosarum bv. viciae. RNAcentral's name for it is "tRNA-OTHER". It matches the Rfam family "tRNA". From Rfam's summary of the family: Transfer RNA (tRNA) molecules are approximately 80 nucleotides in length. Their secondary structure includes four short double-helical elements and three loops (D, anti-codon, and T loops). The record is from RNAcentral. Lineage: Bacteria; Pseudomonadati; Pseudomonadota; Alphaproteobacteria; Hyphomicrobiales; Rhizobiaceae.
GGACAGGUGGCCGAGUGGUUUAAGGCGCACGCCGGAACGCGUGUGUACGUGAAAGCGUACCGUGGGUUCGAAUCCCACCCUGUCCGCCA